CCCCUCUCAGGAUUGCCUCUGGAGAGUUUCCAGGACUCUGUCAGUCUCAGCUACGGGAGGGAGAGUCAAGCAGAGGUUUACCUAUUCCAUUCCUAGAUCAGACGGUGGCUAGUGAGUGGAAGGCAAUCUGCUACAAGU
This is a small nucleolar RNA of Tachyglossus aculeatus (Australian echidna), 138 nucleotides long. The record is from RefSeq and is a predicted model, not a curated record. NCBI's taxonomy places the organism in Eukaryota, Metazoa, Chordata, Mammalia, Monotremata, Tachyglossidae.